RNAcentral lists this long non-coding RNA (1054 nucleotides) under Zonotrichia albicollis (white-throated sparrow). RNAcentral's name for it is "lncRNA (ENSZALG00000000510.1)". The record is from RNAcentral. Lineage: Eukaryota; Metazoa; Chordata; Aves; Passeriformes; Passerellidae.
UAUACUGGGGAUACUGGGAUGGACUGGGUAUACUGGGUUAUACUGGUUAUACUGGGUUAUACUGGGAUAUACUGGGUAUACUGGGAUGGGCUGGGUUAUACUGGGUAUACUGGUUAUACUGGGAUGGACUGGGUUAUACUGGUUAUACUGGGAUGGUUAUACUGGUUAUACUGGGUAUACUGGGUUAUACUGGGAUGGACUGGGAUGGACUGGGACGCGGCCACGGGGCUGUUACUGGGAACCGGUAUGGAGAUACUGGGUUAUACUGGGAUAUACUGGGAUGGACUGGGACGCGGCCACGGGGCUACUGCUGGGAACCGGUAUGGAACUGGGGAUGCUGGGAUAUACUGGUAUGGACUGGGUAUACUGGGAUGGACUGGGAAUGGACUGGGAUGGACUGGGAGGCGGCCACGGGGCUGCUGCUGGGAACCGGUAUGGGACUGGUUUAUACUGGGAUGGUUAUACUGGGUUAUACUGGGAUAUACUGGGAUAUACUGGGUAUACUGGGAUGGGCUGGGUUAUACUGGUUAUACUGGGUUAUACUGGGAUGGACUGGGAUGCGGCAACAGGGCUGCUGCUGGGAACCGGUAUGGAACUGGGGAUACUGGGAAUACUGGGAUGGACUGGGAUGGACUGGGACGCGGCCACGGCCCUGCUGCUGGGAACCGGUAUGGAACUGGUUAUACUGGGAUAUACUGGGAUGGACUGGGAUGGGCUGGGGGGAACUGGGAGGGACUGGGGGGAACUGGGAUGGACUGGGAUGGGAAUGGGGGGGACUGGGAGGGACUGGGAUGGGAAUGGGAUGGACUGGGAUGGACUGGGAUGGACUGGGAUAGACUGGGAUGGGAAUGGGAUGGGACUGGGAGGGAGUGGGACAGAUUGGGAUCACCUGGGAUGUCCUGGGCUCACCUGGGACGGACUGGGAUGGGACUAGGACGGACUGGGAUCCCCCGGAUCCCACCUGUGCUCACCUGGUUCCCCCCUGGUUCCCCCCCGUCCCCCCCCAGCGCAUCGGGGAGGAUUUCGUGUCCGACCUGGACCAGCUGCAGCGGCU